This 210-nucleotide long non-coding RNA is filed under the name Capsicum annuum. RNAcentral's name for it is "long non-coding RNA (CANN_LNC020967)". Lineage: Eukaryota; Viridiplantae; Streptophyta; Magnoliopsida; Solanales; Solanaceae. The record is from RNAcentral.
CAAAGGGCUCAAUAAGUCUAUUUAAGUUUGUAAAAUUACAUAUAAUUAAAAAUAUGUCUAGUUAUAUACUAACUUUUCGUUUUACUUGUGCAAAUUAAUUAUCAGCACCACUUGUCUUAAUAAAGCCAGACAACAAACUUGGGGCGAGCCAACUAAACUACCAGUUGAUGUUGCUAUUCAAAUCUUCAUUGAGCAUAUGGUGGGAAGGAG